GGAUAGAGGCCUACCAUGGUGGUAACGGGUAACGGGGUGUUAGGGCACGACACCGGAGAGGGAGCCUGAGAAACGGCUACCACAUCCAAGGAUGGCAGCAGGCGCGCAAAUUACCCAAUCCCGACACGGGGAGGUAGUGACAAUAAAUAACAAUACGGGGUUCUUUCGGAUCUCGUAAUUGGAGUGAGUACAAUUUAAAUCUCUUAACGAGGAGCAAUUGGAGGGCAAGUCUGGUGCCAGCAGCCGCGGUAAUUCCAGCUCCAAUAGCGUAUAUUAAAGUUGUUGCAGUUAAAAAGCUCGUAGUUGAAUUUCGGGGUUAGUAGGUUGGUCAUGCCUCUGGUAUGUACUGGUCUCACUGAUUCCUCCUUCCUUAUGAACCGUAAUGCCAUUAAUUUGGUGUUGCGGGGAAUUUGGACUGUUACUUUGAAAAAAUUAGAGUGUUUAAAGCAAGCUAACGCUUGAAUACAUUAGCAUGGAAUAAUGAAAUAGGACGUUCGAUCUUAUUUUGUUGGUUUCUAGGAUUGACGUAAUGAUUAAUAGGGAUAGUUGGGGGCAUUAGUAUUCAAUUGUCAGAGGUGAAAUUCUUGGAUUUAUUGAAGACUAACUACUGCGAAAGCAUUUGCCAAGGAUGUUUUCAUUAAUCAAGAACGAAAGUUAGGGGAUCGAAGACGAUCAGAUACCGUCGUAGUCUUAACCAUAAACUAUGCCGACUAGGGAUCGGAUGA
RNAcentral lists this ribosomal RNA (725 nucleotides) under uncultured fungus. RNAcentral describes it as "SSU rRNA". It matches the Rfam family "Eukaryotic small subunit ribosomal RNA", at positions 331 to 1060 of the family's 1831-position model. The record is from RNAcentral. Lineage: Eukaryota; Fungi.